GAGGCGGCUAGGGAUGGCAGCAGGUGGGGCUGCCUGGUGGCCCAGGUGACCCUGGAGAGAGGGGUAAGAACUCGUGUGUGCGGGAGGGGACGCUGGUCGUGAGCAGUGGGAAGUCACCGCAGUGGGGCCUGACAAGCGCGACGUCACAGGUGCUGGGCAAGGUGGACUGGGUCCCACGGCAUCUAGGGUCAGGUAGCGCAGGACUCCUCUCCCACGGCUGCAGAGGCUAAUGUCAGGAAGCACGGGCUGCCUGCCUUCCGCCACCCUCCGUCACCAUGAAGUGUGAGCGACAAGGCUCAGAAAGGAAGGAACAGAUCUCCCUGCGAAGUGACAGAAAAGUUACAAGAGUCUAACUAAUCAUGAAGACUCUCUUACCUAGAUUCGAAAC
RNAcentral lists this long non-coding RNA (388 nucleotides) under Fukomys damarensis (Damara mole-rat). Its description in RNAcentral is "lncRNA (ENSFDAG00000029491.1)". Lineage: Eukaryota; Metazoa; Chordata; Mammalia; Rodentia; Bathyergidae. The record is from RNAcentral.